RNAcentral lists this ribosomal RNA (416 nucleotides) under uncultured bacterium. Its description in RNAcentral is "bacterial SSU rRNA". It matches the Rfam family "Bacterial small subunit ribosomal RNA", at positions 515 to 929 of the family's 1533-position model. The record is from RNAcentral.
CCGCGGUAAUACGUAGGGUGCGAGCGUUGUCCGGAAUUACUGGGCGUAAAGAGCUCGUAGGUGGUUUGUUGCGUCGUCUGUGAAAUUCCGGGGCUUAACUUCGGGGUGGCAGGCGAUACGGGCAUAACUAGAGUGCUGUAGGGGAGACUGGAAUUCCUGGUGUAGCGGUGGAAUGCGCAGAUAUCAGGAGGAACACCGAUGGCGAAGGCAGGUCUCUGGGCAGUAACUGACGCUGAGGAGCGAAAGCAUGGGGAGCGAACAGGAUUAGAUACCCUGGUAGUCCAUGCUGUAAACGGUGGGCGUUAGGUGUGGGGACCGGUUUGGUUUCUGUGCCGUAGCUAACGCAUUAAGCGCCCCGCCUGGGGAGUACGGCCGCAAGGCUAAAACUCAAAGGAAUUGACGGGGGCCCGCACAAG